Molecule: long non-coding RNA, 515 nt
Filed under: Anser brachyrhynchus (Pink-footed goose)
Lineage: Eukaryota; Metazoa; Chordata; Aves; Anseriformes; Anatidae
Description: lncRNA (ENSABRG00000000519.1)
Source: RNAcentral
UUCCAAGCCUAAACGAUUAAUAUUUAAUCCUUUGUCAAUCCUUUAGGUCAAGGAGCACGCUUGGCUUCUUAGCUGCUGGUCCCGCCUGUCCCACAGGGUAGUAGGCUGUUUGGCCUUCCCUUUACAUGGGAAAGGAUGUGUAUGCACACAUAAAGUACUAAACUGCUGAUAGUUUGUUUCAUGUUGACCGCAAGGAGAUGGUAUCAGAUUCAUAAGAACUUACACCCGCUUCCUAUUUCCUAUAGGAGAAUUCAUGGCAAUUCGAAGGAUGAGGAAAUCAUAGGAAAGGACAGGGAGUGAAUGGUAACAAUUUGAUCAAGAUUCUGAAAUGUCAGCAUACUCUUAUCUGUAAGAGGAAACAUAAGGAUGCAAAACCUGUAAGCGUGGGCUGGACAUUCUCAGCUCUAGCUUCAUCUGUGCACUUCACACACGUGUGCACAAAGAAACAACAAAAUCACAUGUUACCAGUCCUCAGAGAGGAAGUAGUGUUUCAAAUGGAAAAAGGUUUAACCUAG